GAACGCACAUUGCGCCCAUUAGUAUUCUAGUGGGCAUGCCUGUUCGAGCGUCAUUUCAACCCCUAAGCCUAGCUUAUUGUUGGGAGACCGCGGUCAGCCGCGGCUCCUCAAAGUCAGUGGCGGAGAGACGGUGUCCUCUGAGCGUAGUAAAUAACUUUCUCGCUUCUGUCAGGCGCCGGCCCCCUUGCCAUUAAACACCCAAUUUUCUAAUGGUUGACCUCGGAUCAGGUAGGAAUACCCGCUGAACUUA
Molecule: unclassified non-coding RNA, 250 nt
Filed under: Arthrinium puccinioides
Lineage: Eukaryota; Fungi; Ascomycota; Sordariomycetes; Amphisphaeriales; Apiosporaceae
Description: sequence contains 5.8S rRNA gene
Rfam family: 5.8S ribosomal RNA (bases 1-53)
Source: RNAcentral